This 468-nucleotide ribosomal RNA is filed under the name uncultured bacterium. RNAcentral's name for it is "partial 16S ribosomal RNA". It matches the Rfam family "Bacterial small subunit ribosomal RNA", at positions 28 to 507 of the family's 1533-position model. The record is from RNAcentral.
GACGAACGCUGGCGGCGUGCUUAACACAUGCAAGUCGAACGGAAAGGCCCUGCUUUUGUGGGGUGCUCGAGUGGCGAACGGGUGAGUAACACGUGAGUAACCUGCCCUUGACUUUGGGAUAACUUCAGGAAACUGGGGCUAAUACCGGAUAGGAGCUCCUGCUGCAUGGUGGGGGUUGGAAAGUUUCGGCGGUUGGGGAUGGACUCGCGGCUUAUCAGCUUGUUGGUGGGGUAGUGGCUUACCAAGGCUUUGACGGGUAGCCGGCCUGAGAGGGUGACCGGCCACAUUGGGACUGAGAUACGGCCCAGACUCGUACGGGAGGCAGCAGUGGAGAAUAUUGCACAAUGGGCGGAAGCCUGAUGCAGCAACGCCGCGUGCGGGAUGACGGGCUUCGGGUUGUAAACCGUUUUCGCCUGUGACGAAGCGUGAGUGACGGUAAUGGGUAAAGAAGCACCGGCUAACUACGCG